Molecule: ribosomal RNA, 903 nt
Filed under: uncultured archaeon
Lineage: Archaea
Description: bacterial SSU rRNA
Rfam family: Archaeal small subunit ribosomal RNA
Source: RNAcentral
CUGCUAUCGGGGUGGGACUAAGACAUGCGAGUCGUGCGUCUCUAAGCCAUGGUAGAGACGCGGCAUACGGCUCAGUAACACGUGGCUAACUACCCUUAGGACGGGGACAACCCCGGGAAACUGGGGCUAAUACCCGAUAGAUGAGGAGGCCUGGAAUGGUUCCUAGUCGAGAAGGCGUCGAAACCAUGCUUUUCGACGUCGCCUAAGGAUGGGGCCGCGCCCGAUCAGGUUGUUGGUGGGGCAACGGCUCACCAAGCCUAUAACCGGUACGGGCCGUGAGAGCGGGAGCCCGGAGAUGGGCACUGAGACAAGGGCCCAGGCCCUACGGGGCGCAGCAGUCGCGAAAACUCCGCAAUGCGCGAAAGCGUGACGGGGCUACCCCGAGUGCCGUCCGCUGAGGAUGGCUUUUCCCCAGUGUAAUGAGCCGGGGGAAUAAGGAGAGGGCAAGUCUGGUGUCAGCCGCCGCGGUAAUACCAGCUCUCCGAGUGGUAGGGAUGAUUAUUGGGCUUAAAGCGUCCGUAGCCGGCUUAGCAAGUCUCCUGUUAAAUUCAGCGACCUAAUCGUUGAGCCGCGGGAGAUACUACUAGGCUAGGAGGCGGGAGAGGUCGACGGUAUUCUCGGGGUAGGGGUGAAAUCCUAUAAUCCCGGGAGGACCACCAGUGGCGAAGGCUGUCGGCUAGAACGCGCUCGACGGUGAGGGACGAAAGCUGGGGGAGCAAACCGGAUUAGAUACCCGGGUAGUCCCAGCUGUAAACGAUGCGGGCUAGGUGUUGGGGUGGCUACGAGCCACUUCAGUGCCGCAGGGAAGCCGUUAAGCCCGCCGCCUGGGAGUACGGCCGCAAGGCUGAAACUUAAAGGAAUUGGCGGGGGAGCACCACAAGGCGUGAAGCUUGCGGUUCAAUU